AAACAUACAUUUUGUAGGUUAUGAAUUAAAAUAUAAUUAUUGUACACUAUUAUUUAAUGAAAUAAAAUUUAGAUAAAUUAAUGUUUUCUCUUAAAUGAUGUAAUUGGUGUCAAUUGAAUAUAUUAGUGCAUUGAUGGUACAAAAUGACUAUCUUUAAUAAUUUCUCAUUAUUGGAUUACUUGUCAAAAAUAUUUUUGUUAUUUUAGUAUAAAUAUUUUAUGGCAUGUAUGCUGAAAUUAAUUAAUUCCAUAAAUUAAAUAUUGACAAUAUAUGACAAACAUCAUGAAAUAAAUAUUUUAAAGAAUAUAAUAAAAACAAAAAAUAAUUUAAAACUUCCAUUUAUGAUUGAAAACAUUUAUCUAUUUAUAUUAUGUAUUCAAUAUUUAUAGUUCAUACUUCAUUAUUAAACAGUCAUGGCUUCAUAUUAAAUUUUCUUCAUUACUUACAGUAUAUCUAUGGUCCAUUGCAAAAAUAACUAUGAUGAAUGUCAUAUUUUCUAUAUUUAUUUUAUUUAGGUUUACUUGAAAAUUGAAUUCAUUAGUUCUAAAAUUAUAUUAAUGUAUUUAUUUAUUAAACAAUUCAAAUGUUGAAUAAAAUGUAACUGGUUUACAAAUUGUUUUUAGCCUAAACCAAUAAUUAGGCAUAGUUUUAUUUUUAAUUUCAAUAAC
Cinara cedri is the source of this 668-nucleotide non-coding RNA. Lineage: Eukaryota; Metazoa; Arthropoda; Insecta; Hemiptera; Aphididae. The record is from the annotation of a GenBank genome assembly.